Molecule: ribosomal RNA, 461 nt
Filed under: uncultured bacterium
Lineage: Bacteria
Description: SSU rRNA
Rfam family: Bacterial small subunit ribosomal RNA
Source: RNAcentral
AGAAUCAACGCUGGCGGCGUGCCUAACACAUGCAAGUCGAACGAGAAAGUGGGAGCAAUCCCACGAGUAAAGUGGCGCACGGGUGAGUAACACGUGACUAACCUACCCUUGAGUGGGGGAUAACCUAGGGAAACCUGGGCUAAUACCGCAUAAUACCUACGGGUCAAAGGAGCAAUUCGCUUUAGGAGGGGGUCGCGGCAGAUUAGUUAGUUGGCGGGGUAAUGGCCCACCAAGACAGUGAUCUGUAUCCGGCCUGAGAGGGCGCACGGACACACUGGAACUGAAACACGGUCCAGACUCCUACGGGAGGCAGCAGUGGGGAAUUUUGCGCAAUGGGGGAAACCCUGACGCAGCAACGCCGCGUGGAGGAUGAAGCCCCUUGGGGCGUAAACUCCUUUCGAUCGGAAGAUAAUGACGGUACCGGAAGAAGAAGCCCCGGCUAACUUCGUGCCAGCAGCCGC